GACGAACGCUGGCGGCGUGCCUAAUACAUGCAAGUCGAACGCUUCUUUCCUCCCGUGUGUUUGCACUCAAUUGGAAAGAGGAGUGGCGGACGGGUGAGUAACACGUGGGUAACCUACCCAUCAGAGGGGGAUAACACUUGGAAACAGGUGCUAAUAUCGCAUAACAGUUUAUGCCGCAUUGCAUAAGAGUGAAAGGCGCUUUCGGGUGUCGCUGAUGGCUGGACCCGCGGUGCAUUAGCUAGUUGGUGAGGUAACGGCCCACCAAGGCCACGAGGCGUAGCCGACCUGAGAGGGUGAUCGGCCACACUGGGACUGAGACACGGCCCAGACUCCUACGGGAGGCAGCAGUAGGGAAUCUUCGGCAAUGGGCGAAAGUCUGACCGAGCAACGCCGCGUGAGUGAGGAAGGUUUUCGGAUCGUAAAACUCUGUUGUUAGAGAAGAACAAGGACGUUAGUAACUGAACGUCCCCUGACGGUAUCUAACCAGAAAGCCACGGCUAACUACGUG
This 508-nucleotide ribosomal RNA is filed under the name uncultured bacterium. Its description in RNAcentral is "partial 16S ribosomal RNA". It matches the Rfam family "Bacterial small subunit ribosomal RNA", at positions 28 to 507 of the family's 1533-position model. The record is from RNAcentral.